RNAcentral lists this ribosomal RNA (298 nucleotides) under uncultured Armillaria. Its description in RNAcentral is "partial large subunit ribosomal RNA". It matches the Rfam family "Eukaryotic large subunit ribosomal RNA", at positions 40 to 329 of the family's 3401-position model. Lineage: Eukaryota; Fungi; Basidiomycota; Agaricomycetes; Agaricales; Tricholomataceae. The record is from RNAcentral.
GUAUCAAUAAGCGGAGGAAAAGAAACUAACAAGGAUUCCCCUAGUAACUGCGAGUGAAGAGGGAAGAGCUCAAAUUUAAAAUCUGGCAGUGUUUUUGCUGUCCGAGUUGUAAUCUAGAGAAGUGCUGCCCAUGCUGGACCAUGUACAAGUCUCCUGGAAUGGAGCGUCACAGAGGGUGAGAAUCCCGUCUUUGACAUGGACUGCCAGUGUAUUUGUGGUGUGCUCUCAAAGAGUCGAGUUGUUUGGGAAUGCAGCUCUAAAUGGGUGGUAAACUCCAUCUAAAGCUAAAUAAUUGGAC